UCCCCUUUAGCUCAAUUGGAAGAGCAACGGGCUCUUAACCCGUGGGUUGCCGGUUCAAGUCCGACAGGGGGAACCG
Molecule: transfer RNA, 76 nt
Filed under: Streptomyces nanshensis
Lineage: Bacteria; Bacillati; Actinomycetota; Actinomycetes; Kitasatosporales; Streptomycetaceae
Description: tRNA-Lys
Rfam family: tRNA
About the family: Transfer RNA (tRNA) molecules are approximately 80 nucleotides in length. Their secondary structure includes four short double-helical elements and three loops (D, anti-codon, and T loops).
Source: RNAcentral